This 356-nucleotide transfer-messenger RNA is filed under the name Candidatus Nealsonbacteria bacterium RIFCSPLOWO2_01_FULL_41_9. It matches the Rfam family "transfer-messenger RNA". From Rfam's summary of the family: Bacterial tmRNA, also known as 10Sa RNA or SsrA, is named for its dual tRNA and mRNA-like properties. Its role is to liberate the mRNA from a stalled ribosome. RNAcentral also lists the same sequence under 1 other name. Lineage: Bacteria; Candidatus Nealsoniibacteriota. The record is from RNAcentral.
GGGGGUGAAAGUUUCGACAAGAGUUUUAUAAAGAUAGGCAAUUUGAGUUUUCUCAAACCUCAUAAAACUUUGAGAAGCAAGAAUAAGUGCUAAUUUAUUCAAGCAACCCGCUUUAGCUUUAGCUUAAGGCGGCAUCCCCUUCUCGGAUUCUCGCUAGGUGCUAUAGGGGGUGUUAUAUCAGCGAGAUAGAUGGCUCUUUCAGGAGGGUUCAGAAAAGCCGUCAAACAACAAAGAACCCGGAGCAGGAAGAUUUUUCCUAUUUUAAACUUCCAGCUCUAAAAACCAAAUAGGAUACAUUUGUAGAACUAUCUUUAGAACAAUUCUUGGAUGCGAGCUCACUCUCGCCACCUCCACUU